CAGCUAAAUUAGUAUUUAAAAGAAACAAUGAAAAAUGUUUUAGUAUAAGUAUUUGCCAUGCAAUAUUUGAGACAUACUUGUACUAAAGUAUGAGUCACUGUUUCUUUGAAACUCAAAU
RNAcentral lists this microRNA precursor (118 nucleotides) under Choloepus hoffmanni (Hoffmann's two-fingered sloth). RNAcentral's name for it is "miRNA (ENSCHOG00000015956.1)". The record is from RNAcentral. Lineage: Eukaryota; Metazoa; Chordata; Mammalia; Pilosa; Megalonychidae.